UACAGAGGUCUCAAGCGUUGUUCGGAUUCAUUGGGCGUAAAGGGUGCGUAGGUGGCGGGGUAAGUCUGGUGUGAAAUCUCGGGGCUCAACCCCGAAACUGCACUGGAUACUGCCUUGCUUGAGUACUGGAGAGGAGACUGGAAUUUACGGUGUAGCGGUGAAAUGCGUAGAUAUCGUAAGGAAGACCAGUGGCGAAGGCGGGUCUCUGGACAGUUCCUGACGCUGAGGCACGAAGGUCAGGGGAGCAAACGGG
This 253-nucleotide ribosomal RNA is filed under the name uncultured bacterium. RNAcentral describes it as "partial 16S ribosomal RNA". It matches the Rfam family "Bacterial small subunit ribosomal RNA", at positions 524 to 776 of the family's 1533-position model. The record is from RNAcentral.